AAUCCAUGCAUCAGACAUUUCUGAAGUAAUUCCUUAAAUCUUUCCCAAGCUUCGUAUAAUGUUUCAUCUUCUAAUUGCUGAAAAGAUGUGAUUCAUUUCUCAAUUU
This 106-nucleotide small nucleolar RNA is filed under the name Gossypium arboreum. RNAcentral's name for it is "Plant small nucleolar RNA R71". It matches the Rfam family "Plant small nucleolar RNA R71". Rfam says of the family: R71 is a member of the C/D box family of snoRNAs containing the C (UGAUGA) and D (CUGA) box motifs. Multiple nearly identical copies of this snoRNA have been identified in Arabidopsis, and it is thought to function as a 2'-O-ribose methylation guide for 18S ribosomal RNA. The record is from Rfam by way of RNAcentral. Lineage: Eukaryota; Viridiplantae; Streptophyta; Magnoliopsida; Malvales; Malvaceae.